RNAcentral lists this small RNA (29 nucleotides) under Bombyx mori (domestic silkworm). RNAcentral describes it as "ovarian small RNA-17712". The record is from RNAcentral. Lineage: Eukaryota; Metazoa; Arthropoda; Insecta; Lepidoptera; Bombycidae.
GUCACUUACAAGGCAUUUUAUGGUGUAUC